AUUGAACGCUGGCGGCAGGCCUAACACAUGCAAGUCGAGCGAGCGGCGGACGGGGGAGUAAUGUCUGGGAAACUGCCUGCUGGAGGGGGAUAACUCCUGGAAACGGUAUCUAAUACCCCAUACCAUCAGAUGUGCGCAGAUGGGAUUAGCUAGUAGGUGGGGUAACGGCUCACCCAGGCGACGAUCCCUAGCUGGUCUGAGAGGAUGACCCGCCACACUGGAACUGAGACACGGUCCAGACUCCUACGGGAGGCAGCAGUGGGGAAUAUUGCACAAUGGGCGCAAGCCUGAUGCAGCCAUGCCGCGUGUGUGAAGAAGGCCUUCGGGUUGUAAAGCACUUUCAGCGGGGAGGCGUUACCCGCAGAAGAAGCACCGGCUAACUCCGUGCCAGCAGCCGCGGUAAUUC
RNAcentral lists this ribosomal RNA (406 nucleotides) under uncultured bacterium. RNAcentral's name for it is "partial 16S ribosomal RNA". It matches the Rfam family "Bacterial small subunit ribosomal RNA", at positions 30 to 526 of the family's 1533-position model. The record is from RNAcentral.